This 266-nucleotide ribosomal RNA is filed under the name uncultured bacterium. Its description in RNAcentral is "partial 16S ribosomal RNA". It matches the Rfam family "Bacterial small subunit ribosomal RNA", at positions 524 to 776 of the family's 1533-position model. The record is from RNAcentral.
GACAGAGGAUGCAAGCGUUAUCCGGAAUGAUUGGGCGUAAAGGCGUCUGUAGGUGGUUUAUUAAGUCUACUGUUAAAGAUCAGGGCUUAACCCUCGGAGCAGGCAAGUAGAAACUAAUAUGGCUAGAGUACGGUAGGGGCAGAGGGAAUUCCCGGUGGUAGCGGGUGAAAUGCGUAGAGAUCGGGAAAGAACACCAACGGCGAAAGCACUCGUGACUGGGCCGAAACUGACACACUGGAGAGACGAAAGCUAGGGGAGCAAAUGGG